Molecule: long non-coding RNA, 8301 nt
Filed under: Manihot esculenta (cassava)
Lineage: Eukaryota; Viridiplantae; Streptophyta; Magnoliopsida; Malpighiales; Euphorbiaceae
Description: long non-coding RNA (MESC_LNC001385)
Source: RNAcentral
UUUUUUUUUUUUUUUUCGUUAGUUAUUUAUAAUCAUCUUUUACAAAUAUGAUCGUUAAGGGGUAGUUUUGAUUUGUAUAAAAUGCUUGGAGCUCUAUUUUUCAGAUUUGAUGGAAGGUAUUUGCAGUUUAAUAGAUGGCAAGUGAUAGUGUUAUUAUCCAAAUGACAUUUCUAUGUUGGAAGCGACUUGUCAAUUAGACGAUUCGAUCUUUUUGAGAUUUAUCGAUUCGAUGUUGAUUUAAUCUCUUUGUGAUUUAUCGAUUUGUCUGACUUGUUUUGCGUUUGAACGAUCUAUCCAACGUAAUUUAAGGCGUAAUUCAUAUGAAUUAGUUUAUAUAACGUAAAUGUUUGAACUGAUACAAUAUAUAAAAUUUUGCAUUCAUAGAUUUUUCUAAAUAGGGAUGAAUCUGAUGUAUAUGUAUGAAUAUCUUUUUUUCAUUCUACGGCUCCUCUCAUUUAUGUAUGUAAUUCGUGUAAACUAAUUUAUAUAAAUUAAGAAAUUUGGAUUGGUACAAUAUAUAAAAUUUUAUAUUCAUAGAUUUUUCUAAAUAGGAAUGAUUCUAAUUUAUAUGUAUAAAUCUCACUUUUUUAAUUCUAAGGCCUCUCUCGCCUAUGCCAAGCUGUGAACGUCGAGGCCUUAUUAUUCUCUUGCCUUUUGUUGUCGAUGGAGGUUCCAUAUGCUAUCUACUAUGCUUAGUGUCCCGCUAAAGUUUCAGACCUUAUGACCUUUUUGGGAUUUGACAAUGGUGAUUGUCUUGCUGCUCUUUGCAGUCGACACUAUGGGCUGGCAGUGUGAGCAGUGUGCGGUAAUGGUGAAACAUGACGCGUUGGAGGGUGAACAGAGAGACACUAGCUUCAUUAAUAGUUGGAUUAGGAUUUUGGAUUUAUAGGUUUGUGUUUAUCUAUUUACAUGUGUACCUAUGUGUUCGCAUUAAUUUCUUUUAAAUUCAUAUAAAUAAUUUCAGUAUUAACAAAUAAACUUUAUAUUUUUUAAAUUUAUUUAAAACAUUAAAUUUGAAUUUUAUCAAACAUUACCAUUUCAUAUAUUUAGCUACUAAUACUCAAGGAAAAUAUCAAAAUAUUCUUAUCCAAAAAGAAUAUUUUUAUUUUAAGGAAGGGAAUAUUUAAAAAUAUUUAAAAAUAUUUCUGUACAUCACCCAAUUCAAAAAAAGACCAGAACUGGACCUCUCGCUUGCGUGUAGAGUGACCAUAUUAGCAGCGGCACCGCUACUUCAGCUAGCUAUCAUUCGAAAAAAGCUAAAAUAGUAUGGCUUCCAAAGUGAUCAGCAUGCUUGUCCCGUUCUAUGUAUAAAUCCAGACCUCCUAAUCCAAAGCCUAUCCCCACCCAAAACCAACCAAUUUUCUGAUCACCAAAUACGAACUCCCCCUUAGUAAUCAUCCUAUCCAAUAUAAACCAAAACAAAUUGGCUACAUCCUCGUGUGGUGUCCUCGCCAUUUAGCUAUACUCAAUAAUUUAUGCUCAUCCUGUUUGUGUUUUGGAGUCUCCAGCCUUUUUUAGUUGCUUUUUUGGUUGUCACUGGCUAUUUGCAUAGUGGCACUUUGUUCUGGGUUUUGGAUUUUGCUUUUGUGUAGAUGUCUUUGCUCCGCUGAGUUUGUUGAAUGCCAGUGAUUUGAGGAUUUUUCCUCUCUGGGACAACUUUGGAUUGGGCUGAGGGUUUGGGUGAUUUGAAUAUCGAUAGCUGCGCUUGGAUGCUACUUCUUUAUUGUGCUGGCCUGAAUGAAUUCUAUUAUUCAAACUAUUUUACAUUUAUUUACCUAGUAAAUUAAUGUGCGAAAAUACACAUUAAAAAAUAAAAAAGUGUGACAAAUAAUAAUUAUAAUAUUAUUUUUAUAACAAAUUUUAAUUUAUUUUUAUUUUCGUAUUAUGGCAGUUCCACAUAUUAAUUUUAUCAAAUAUUUAAUCAAAAACUGUUUUUAGAAAUUUUCAUUUUUUAAAGAUGGAAAAUUUUGUGCUAAUAAAUUACAGAGGCUGAAGUAUAGCAAGUGGAACUUGCAUGACUCGGAGUGGCUUAUAUAUAUAUGGGCCAUUUGGCAAUUGUGGCUAAUGCGUGUCAAGAUAAGCAGUCAACAGGCACCGUUGCUUUUUUCUAGGGAAUAGUGGUGGAGCUGUGUGCCUACUCUUUCUGCGGCUUUGCUAUCUUCUUAUGCUUGUGGCUAUGGCUCUGGUUCUGGUUCGAAAUUGGAUUUGAGUGAAGGUGUAACACUUCAAGUGGCUUCUUGUCUCCUUCCUUCGGAUGUUGUCAUGUGUGGAUGUGUAAUAGUGCAAGUGGCUGCCCCAGCCCUUUCUACGCCAGGCCUCAUUUCUCAUAACCCCAUCAAACACCUAGCCAAUGCAAUUAUGCAAAAGCCAUUAACUUUAUGCAAGAUUAGGAAGGAAUCGAUCUCAAUUUCUAGAAGCACUUUAUGCCCUUCAAGCUUUACUUGGCCAUCAGUCUUUUCUUAUAUAACCCCAUAGUCCCAAGAUUCUUUGCUUUUUCUCUCUUCAUUUCUGGUUUUUUCCAUCAAAAGAAUUAACAGCUACUGGAAGAGGGAAGAGUUUGAAGAAAAAUGUGUUACUCAGUUAUGCCUUUUGUCACCCACGCAAGGACCGCGGAGGAGGAGCAAAGGUGGCUGGUUUUCCAAGCAGUUGAGACAACAGGGGCUGAACCAGCAAGGACAGAAACGUCUGGCGGUGAUGGUGGUGGCUCGAUGAAGAAGUGUGUAUGUUCACCAACGAGGCAUCCAGGGUCCUUCAGGUGCAGGCACCACCAUGGUGAUUAUGAGUGGGGUCGUAGAAUAACAAAGAAGUGAGUACGUUAUGUGAUUAUAAUUAUAAACAUCUAAUUCAACUGUAUAAAACUCUAAAUAACGAUUUGGCUGUUUUAUCUUAUGUUUCUUCUUUACACUAUUUGCUGGAUGCCUAACCCUAAUAUUUCUCUUUGUUUUUUCCCACUCCUUUGUCUCUGCUGCUCUCUGUCAUAGCAAGAUUUUUCCAAAGAUAGGUAAAGAAUUUCGUUUUUCAAAAUGGAUGAUUUUGCUUUGCAGAGAAUUACCCAUCAUAGCAUCUUAGUAGAACAAUAGUGCAUGCAAGUUUGCAAUAGCUGAUCUCAGAGUCGCUGAAUUUGAAUACGGCGAUCAAAUUUCCUUGAACCCUUUAUUGUUCAGGUGCAGCACCAUAGAAAAUUCAUAUAUUUUUGUAUAAUUCUUAAUAUUAUUAUUCAAUUGGGCCAUUCAUAAGCAACUAAGCAGGUCCAACAUUCGAUUAGUCCAAACAAGGCCGACAAGGCCAAGCCUAACUGGGAUGUCGCUGAACGUAUUUUUUGUGAAUGACUGUAAUGUUGACUCCUGAAAAGCCUCCAUUUUUACUGGAAAAAAGUUAAUCAGUGUACUCAUGUGGAUCCAAGUCCAACCAUGGGAACCAGCAUAAACAGGAGCAACAAGCCUCCAAAUGAAUAUAAUUUAAUAACUCAUAAAGUUAAAAUACAUAGAUACUGUUGUUCCUUGGUAAAUGAAUCCUUUGUACAGACAAGCAAUUGACGGAUACAAUUACUAGUCUACUUGCUCAAACGGCUAUUGGAAACGUCAAAAUAUUUACCUUCCACUAUAUAUUCACGACGGAAGAUGCUCCUCCAUGUCCUUCCACUUCAAGACAAUCUGCCAGUCUUGAAGAAAAUGAUGACGCCCCCACCAUAUCACUGAAAAAAAUCAGAAGCAAGUUUGUUCAUUAGCAAUACAGCCUAGACAAUGGUAAAAUAUCUAGUACUACUAAUAUAUGAGCAAAACCAACUUCAGGUUCUAGUCAUAUAUACUGAUUUGCACCGUUCAAUCACAUUAAAUAUUGAAAAUCAAUUGAAAACCACUCAAAAAGUGAAUCAGAAACCGUACUUUUUAUGGCAUUCAACUAUUUGAGUAUCAAAAUCAAAGAGCAUGAAGAAUGUUGAAAAUCACAUAUAUUGACACUUGACAGGAACACUAAUGGCAUUGAGGGUCAUCAAUAUGCAUGCAACUUAUACAGUAAUUGCAUCAAUAAUUCAAAUUAAUGAUUCCAGCUUAUUUAUCAUAAAGAAAAAAGAUUUCCUUACCUCAGGGUAACAGUCUUGACGGACAAUUGUCUGGUUGGCAGUAUUCACAUACACUUCACAUGACACUCUUCCCUGAAAUAUUUUCGAAAGCAUAAAUUACACUUACUGAGAAAUUGCAUACCGUCAAGCAUGAAGAAUAAGCAAAAAAGAUGAGAGACAGCAAGAGAAUAAUCAAAGUUAGUGAUGGAACAACUUUACCACUCGCAACUAAUAACUCCAAAAAAAAAAAAUAAUAAUAAUAAUAAAAAGUUCAUCCAGCUAUCUAACACAACAAAGCUUAAAUGCACAAGUGCAUUUUCGCAGCGGCAGGUUUGUUCUCGUAUUGGAUAAAACACACAGAUUGAUGCAAAUAUACGCUAGGGUAAGCAGAUGCAGGGCAGGCAUCCUCAAUGUAUACAGAUACUACUACAGUUUCUAAGUCUAUUACUCAUCCAUCAUUCUACUGCUCUAAAUUGUUCGGAAUUGGAUGACCACUAAAGACUCCACGGAGUUGUAUUUAUGUGGGCAACUACCUAUCAAUCUGUCCAUAGUCAAGACUCAAGAAUUGAUUAAAACCAUUAUGAAAAAGAGUGCCACAUUCAUGUCAUUCUUAUUGAUCAUUCCACCUUGAUCUACUGCAUUUUAAGAAUUAAGCAACACGUAAGCUUAUUUUAUCUAUUCUUAAAACAAAAGUUUUCAAGGGUUCUCCAUAGUGAUACAAUAAUGGUACCCCCUAUUCACUAUCCAGGGACUAACAGCAUUCAUGUAUGAAGUGAGUUUCAUUCAAAAUAAUGACAAUAAGCUUCCUGUUAAGCUGAGAUUUAUUGUUACGAGCAAAUUUCACUGCUGCAACUCAAAUUAGUACAAUAAACUUCGCUUCUGAUAAAAUAACUACACACCACCACAAAAUUGCUUAUCCCACCAAAUUCUACAUCUUUGCUUGCAGAUUCCCAUUCCCUUCAUCGUUAAAGAUAAUCCAAAUUUCCCCAAUUCAAACAUUCACCAUUAAACAACAGUUUGUAGCGUAAAAAUUAACGAAUCCAAAACGCAUUUUAAGGCAAAGAAGCAAAGAAUCAAGAGAAGUGUAAGGAGAAAGAGGUAACCUUAAUGGGAAGUUUGAAAAACAAGAGCCCAAGCUCUCCAUUGGCCUUGGUAUUGGUAUCAAAGGGGAUAAUACCCCUAGCCAAAUCCUCGAUCAAGUAAAACACAUCGUGUAUAACCUGAAGCCCAUUCAAAUCAAGCGUGGCAUUCACGUACGACGAUCCUCUCGCUCUAAGUUUCCCUCCCUGAGAAUGCACAAGCCCUAGCUCUCUCCCUCUGUACCCAACCGAGACAUCGAGAGAGUCAUAGUCUAACGAGAAGAAAUCCCUGUUUCGGACCAUGAUAACUACAGAGAAGGAGAGGUCGAGAGUAAGUGUCGGAUACGAGUUGACAUGGACGUGAUUGAGUCGAAUUCGUGUGACUUGGAGAGUAGGAUCAGAGGGAUAUAGAAAGAAAACGGCAGCAGAGAGGAGGAGUAUGGCGAAAGUGAAGAAGAUGCAGCGGCGAAUGAAGACGAUCUGGGGGUCGGGUGGAGGGCGGUAGUAGGAUAAAACGAUGACGUUUUGAGGAACACGGUGGGAAGGUAGAGCAGUGUACGGGACGGAGGAGCAUUUGGAGGCCAUGGUUUUAGAUUUUGGAGGUAACGUUGGUCGAUAUUGUCUUCUGCUCCAGCUGUGCUUAAUAAUGAUCGCUAAACCAAACACUCGUUUGUGUGCAAGUUAACUUUUGGUGCGUAUUUUCUGAUGUGGCGACGUCUUACUGGUCAUUUUUUCAUGUAAUCCAAAAGAAUUGAAAUUGAAUCUAAAAUAAGUUUAAUUUAGAGAGAUUUACACUUUACUCUUUUAACUCAACCAUUACUAAUAAGUCUAUUUUUAUACAUUUGAAAAAAUUUAUUAAAAUAUUAUUAUUUUUUUCUUCAUCAAUAAAAUAAUUUUUUCAUUCAGUUAAAAAUAUAAAAAAAAUUAAAUUAUUUUUUCUCUUACUUUUUCUUUUUCAUUGAUUCUUUCUCAUUUUGUUCUUCUUCUUUGAUAGAUAUAAAAAAAAAAACAUAGAGAUUAUUUCGUUAACCAACAAACAUCAUACAAAUAUUUUAAUAAAUAUGAAAAAAAAUAAAUAUAUUUUAAUAAAUUUUUAAAAAUAUAGAAAAAAAUAAUUUUAUUAAUCGAAAAAAACAAUAAAAAUAUUUUAAUAAAUAUAAAAAAAGAUAAAAAUUAUUUUAUUAAUAAAAAAAAAUGAUAAGGAUAUUUUAAUAUAUAUAUAAAAAAAAUAAAAAUAUUUUAAUAAAUUUUUGAAAAUAUAAGAAAUGACUUGUUAAUAAUAGUAAUAUCCGAUAACUAAAUAACAGAUUUUAUUUGAAGGUAAAAUUGAAUUCUAAAAAUUUUUUCUCCCAUCAUUUAUCUAAUUUUUUUAAUUUUAAGGAAAAAAGAGAACAAAAAAAUUAUUUCGUUGAUUAAAAAAAAAAUUUUAAUAUAUUUAUAUUUUUAAAAAUAUAAAUACUGACUUAUUAAUAAUAAUAAUAUUCAUGAACUAAAUUAUAAUUUUUUAAUUUAAUAUAUUUACUAAAAAAUUAAAUUUGUGAAUGAAAAAUAAUGGCUGAAUAGAAAGCAUAAGCUGACUUUUAUGUAAAGAGUAGGUCUAGCCACAGUUUAUUUUUAGCGGUGAAUCGAAUUGAAAUGUUAUAUUAGGUGACCGAUUACAAAUUCUCUUCUUUUAAAUCAAAAUUAAAAUUGGAUCAAAACUUGUUGACUCAUAUCGGCCAUCUGCUUGAUUUCACCUUGAUUUUGAUUUUUUAAAACAGAUCAUUGAAUAGAGUUUUUAAGGUUAGCAGAGAAAGGAAGCAGCUUUUCUUACCGAUUUAUUAUUUAUCUGCAGCCUAGAUAUAAUUGACAGAGAAUGAGAUAAAACACUUCCCAGAGAGCCGUCCCCCUCUUAACAGAGAAGUGAAUUUUCCAGAUACAAGUUUUUAAUAAUAAAUUUAUCAAUUUAGUUCAAUUGAAAUAAACUGUUUUUUUUUUUUCAGUUCAAAAUUAAAAAAAAAAAUAAAUAGAAUGAUUUUCACAAUCAUUCCUAAAUGCCAAAAGCAGUCAUGCUCAGCGACACGUAAGUGUAAAUUGAUAUCUUCUCUAAAAAUCAAAGGGCGUGGUUUUGAAUUUUUGUUUUCCAGUCCCAAUUUUCCAAACGAAUAGACACCCCAAUAAUACGACACCUCAAAAGAUAAGUGUGGUAUGAUAUAGAAAAUCAUAUUUUAGUAAUGACUGGCACCCAGCAAACACCACGCCCAACCAGUUUGUGGAUAAUGAUCCACUAAUAAAUCAGUGGCGGUUGAACUGAUCUCAUCGUUUGAAAAUUUUAAAAAAUAAUUUAUUUAAAGAAAAUAAUUUAUUACUAUAAAUCAAUUUAUUACUAUUAUUACUAUCAUCAUCGUUGUCAUUCUGGAAUAAUUUUUUAUUAUUUAUUUGAUUAAUUAAAAUUUGAAAAAAUAAUUCCAAUAUUAAAUUAAAUCUCAAUAAUCCAAAAUUUUUAAAUUGUAUAUUCUUAAAAUGCAGAAGAUCAUAAUUAAAAAAAAAAUCACACAGAGAAAAUCAUACCCACAGCCAAACACAAGAAAAGAACUACAAACAAAUCACAUAUAUCACAUAUCCUUAUUAAGGAUCGCAAAAUAGAAAUCCUUGAGGUGUUUCUUUCUACAGGGAUUAUUUUCAGGCGCACAAGAUCGGUCACUUGAUGUAUCUAAGACAUCAAACUUCUUAAAAAUCUCAAGUAGACUCAACUGACUUGGGAGAAAGAGAAUUUACAGCGUGAUUUGGGGGCAUAGACUUUGAUCUUUUCAUCCCAGGCGACUUUGACGACGUUGCCCGAUGAAAUCUGCACCUGAACGAUCCUUGAUGCGUCGUCGGCGAACACAAGCAUUGGCCUUUUGGUGAGAUCGACGCCGCCGUGGCUCCUUCUCCUUCGGCGCUGCUUUUCGGAGAGGUAGAAACAGCAAUGCUACUGUGGGAAGCCAUCGUUUAUAUACACAAAUCAGGGAAGUGGAAACGGGCAAAACACUCACCUCCUGUAAAGUUAUAUAUAUAGAGCUGAGCAGAGAUAUGGAUUAGUAUCAAGAUAAUUACAUACUCCUCGAAAAUAGCGUAAGUGGACCGCUCGAUUUGACAUCGAAAUUAAAUUAAAAUUAUUUAAAAAUAAAUUACAUUUACCGG